This 2696-nucleotide long non-coding RNA is filed under the name Marmota monax (woodchuck). The record is from RNAcentral. Lineage: Eukaryota; Metazoa; Chordata; Mammalia; Rodentia; Sciuridae.
GUGGGCAUCACCUUCCAGGAGUGUCCAUGUGCUCAGUGGCCUGUCCUUGGGGUUUUCCGGAGACCUUAGUGCACGGGCAGCAUUGCUGUAGGCUGGGUGGGGACCCCAGCACUGUGUGUUCUGCCCUCCUGUUGAUGUCUCUGGGAUGCACUCCUCCAGAUACCCUCUGGAACGAGAAGGCUCUUGUGUUCUGCUACCUAUCAAGGGUAAGUUAGGAUUUCUAUAUAGUUUCUAUGACUUGCCUUGGGGAAGAAAUUCUAGUUUCUGUAGCCCACUUUGGAGUGCAAAUUAUGAUCCAGUAACUGUAUAUGGAAAGCAAAAACUAUGAAUCACAAUAAUACAACCUCAGAGUAGAUUGGUUGGAUCCUGUGGUCAUUCUAAGUUCAACCUUCGGAGGAACUUUGAAACUGUCUUCCACAGGGGCUCCACCAUUUCCCAUCCCCACCAGCCCUGUGUGAAGGUUCUGACGUCUCCCUGUCCUUGUCCUUGCCAACACACUAGUCAUUGUGGUUUUUUUUCUUUUUUCUUUUUUCGCGGUGCUGGGGAUGGUACCCAGGACCUUGUGCAUGCUGGGUGAGCGCUCCACCACGGAACCACACCCCAGCCCCUUGUCUUUCUUUUUGAUUCUUGCCAUUCUCCUGGGUGUGAAGUGUAAACUGGUCAUGGUUUUGGUUUCCUUUCCCCCUUGACCACUGGGGUUGAGCAUUUUUUCAUGAGCUGAUUGAUCAUUCGUAUAGCUUCCUUGGUGAGUUAUUUGUUCAGGUCCUUUGCUCAUUUUUAAUUGAGUAGGCCUUGUUCAUUAGUCUAGACAUUCUUAUAUCUUCUAGACAUCAAUCUGUUAUCAGAGAUAUCAUUUGCAAAAAUUUCCUGCUAUUCUGUGAGUUGUCUUCACUCUCUUGAUAAGAUCCUUUAGUGCACAGCAGAUUCUGAUUUUGACCAAGUUCAAUAUCUGUUUUUUUCUUGUGUUGCUUGUGCUUUGAUGUCAUACCUACUCUAAGGUCAUGAAGAUUUAUGCCUGUGUUUUUGUGAUGCUCAAUUUUAUGUAUCAGAAUUUUAGGUAUUGCCAUGAUAUCCAGAUAUUUAGUCAAUACUAUUCUAGAUGGUUCUGUGAAAAUAUUUUUUUAGGUGAUAUUAGCACUUAAGUUAGCAGAAAUUGAGUAAAGCAUAUUACCCUCCAUGAUGUGGGGGGGCCAUGUAUAAUUUUUGUCAUUUAUUCUGUUGAUACACAGCUUGUUGUGUUCAUUGAUUUUCAGGGGUUAAACCAGCCUUAUAUUCCUGGGAUAAGUGCUUGUAGUCGUGGCGUUGUGACUGGACACAUACGUGCAGGAUUCAGUUUGCUAGCAUUUGGCUGAGGAUUUUUGUAUGUAUAUUCACAAGCAUUAUUGGUCUGUCUUUUCCUUUCUUGUGAAGCCUUUGCUUAAUUUUGAUAUCAGGGUAACACAGUUCUCUUUCUGGCAUCCUCUCUCCAUGUCGACAAGAUAUUUCAAUUCUGGGAGUUUCCUAACCUUCUCUGGGAUCACAUGGAGAGAGAGGAGGCUCGGCAAUUGGAGUAUCUGGGUUUGAGUCUCUUCUGGAAACACUCAUGGCCCAGGUUCUUUGGCCCCGAGGUGGGACCAUCAUGGCACCUGAUGAACAGGGGCAUGGUGAGGAUGGGUGAGGAGUGUGAAUGCCUCGCACCACUCGGGCACGAUUCCUGCUGGCCACAGUGGCCGCUGUUGUGUUGUUGCCCUUCCCGUCACAGCUGGGAGCCAUGGUGAAGAGGUGCUGGAGUCCAGCUCUCUGUCCCGCCCUGGGAAUGGUCCUGUGUGCCAAGAACAUGGCGCCGUGUCCUCUGUACUCCUCCGGGAUGCUGUCAGCUGGGGCUCCGCAAGAAAGACGUGACUAACUUUCCAGCCAGACUAGAGCUCUGGGUUCCAGUAGUCACAGCUGGUAGUAUCUCAAAACCCUUGACAGGCCACUGCAGGCAGCAGGCCCUAAGGUCUAGCCAGGGUUUUGUUCCUGUAGCUCCAGGUUUAAGUCUCAGCCAAGGCUGUGUCAGGCUCGAGUUCCCCUGGGGGUCAGGCAAGGCCCUCUGGAGCGCAGUCCUGGUUUCCUCCCCUGACAGGCCCCUGCUGAUGUCCCUGAGCCUGUGGAGGGCUCAGCCCCCAAGCCUCGCCCUUCUUUGCCGGGGCCAACUAGCACAGGGACGCAGGAGGUUUUUCUCCUCACUAGCGCCCUCUAGGCCUGGGCUUGGGGAGGGCAGGAGACCUGGCUUGGGGCCAGACAAAUAAGGCCACUUUGUUGAGGCUGUCACUAAUUCAUUGCCAACACUUGACAAGGGGACAGGAAUUCCAUAUGGUUCUGAUCCAAGGAGUUUUAGCAGGGAGAUCUUUGCAGUCACCCAGUCGCAGAUUCUGGAAGUGCUGCUAGAGAACAAGGCAGGACCUGGAAGGGCUUGGACCUCACAGACCAGUUUACUUUUUUUUUUUUUUCCUUUCUUCUGGUAGUGAGCCAGGCAGAUGCUCUACCACUGAGCCAUGCCUGAUUAUCACAGACCUUUUUUUUUUAAAGAAAGGACUUCCUUAGGAUUGCUAGUGUCUAAUUUUGUUUAAUACAUCCUUUUAAAGAAAAGGAGGAUACAAACAUUUUCUUUGGGUAUUCCCCAGGGAUAUUAUACCACUAAGCUACACCCCCAGCCCUUUUUAUUUUGAAACAGA